GAGGGAGCCUACCACGCAUGCGCGCUCCCGCCACGCUUCCCUUCGGCGUCUGGAGAACGGGCCUCCUGCGGGUCCUAAUUUCAUCCUGAAGGCAGCUUCGGCUUCUGUCUGAAGAUCUCCGCUGGGUAGAAAGGGUAGCCGACUUUCUCCGGUCAUCUCACAAGCGGGAGUUUGAGGGUUCAUCACCAGGAAAACCAGUAUGUAUGAACGCCGGAAAUGCAGAUGGCAGUCUCAGAAACGCUUAUGCUAAAUGGGAAUCCAACUACAAGAUUUCUCUCUAUUGUUUGUGAUAGCCACCCCAUGAUGGAAAUAGUCUGGCUGUAAAACGAUUUUUCAAAAGAAAAAGAAACAACUGUGGGAAGAUUGCAAAGUUCUCUAGACAAACCUUCAAGUGACUCUUUUAAGUAAGGAAACGUUUAUCGAAGGGUCAGAGUGGUUAGGAAAACUACUAUGCCAGGAGCCAGGAUCAGUCUUGCCGGAGCGACCGAGAUUGUCCCAGGAGGUAGGCCAGAGAAUGAUGAAAAAGGAAAUUGUAGGUUUUACAGUCAGAACUCUCAACUACACAGCAUAGAAAUGAUACAGGAUCAAAGCAGCCCAUGGAAUUGCACACCACUUCCACAACCCCUCUCACACCAGGCCCUGCCACUGAUGGUCUCCCCACAGACCCUUGUGGCUGGAAUCUUCUCACUGAGUGGAAGUCCUCGUGACUGGGAUGCCAGCAAGCUGGCUCCAACAUAGAUAAGUUUCACGAUGUCCACACGAUCAUGAGAAAUUCACACAAUAUUGUUAUCCCCAAGGGUAGAGAGUGCAGAGAGGUAUCCUGUCACUCGUACUCUGUCAUCCAUCUAGUCAUGGGGUUGAUGAGCAAAUCUACAACCUUUGCAGAUGUCCAAUCAGGGUACUAAGGUGAUGCUCCUCCUAUAGCAGCACCCUUAGUCUAUGGCUUUGCCUUUAAAAAUAUUUUUAUACAUAAAAUAUAUCAUUCAUAAUAACGUAUAUGCACAAUUUAAUGAACAAUAAUAAAAAUAAUAAAAGUAACUGCCGUGCAUUUACCAUUUUGAGAAUUAAAACAUUUCCCAGUACCUCAGCUGUCUCUGAGUAUGCUCUCUGAUUCUGGAUUUUGUAUUAAUGCAUUCUUAUAUAUUAAAAGAAAUUCCUAGCACCUGUAUACUGCGUUUAUUUUCUAUUGCUGACAUAGUAAAUUACCACAAACUCGUGGCUUAAAAAAUACGAAUACAUUAUCUUACAAUUCUGUAGGUUUCGGUUAUGACAUGGAUUUCACUGACUCUAAAAUCAAAGUUUUAAUAGGGCUGCAUUUCUUUCUAGACGCUCUAGGGGAGAGUCCAUUCUCUUGCCUAGUUUCUAGAGACCACCUGUUAUGAAACGCACGUCCAUGGGCCCAGCGCACAGUGAGGCCAAAGAAACCAAAACGUCGGAGUUUGGAGCAGAGAAAGGUUUAUUGCAGGGCCGUGCAAGGAGACAGUGGCUCAUGCCUUAGAAACCCUGAACUCCCCGAAAGCUUUCAGCAAAGCUCUUUUGCGGGAAAGGUGAGGAAGGGGCGUGGUUAGUUGUUGCAGACUCCUUGGUGUCAGACCCUUUGUUCUUGAGGUCAGGUCAAGGUCAAGUCAUGAUGUUCCUGUAAACCUCCACCAAAACAAAUGUUAUUCUCUGUUCUGACAAAAAGGGCAAGGUCCCAAGGCUCAACUGUCGCCCUCCAAGGUCCAGGUCCUGGCUAAGAAGAGGGGGUCCCUGCAAGUGCCGGUUACCCUGCCCAGGAGAGGUCAUCCAGCACCCAGUCUGCAUCCUCCCGCCAGUGCUGAGGCCCAGCUGAAGAGGCAGAUCUCAGUUGCCGGCUCCCUCAGGGCCAGGUCCCCAGACCCUGCCCAGCCGUCAUCACUGAGGGAGCCAGGCGUCCAGGACCCCGCUGGCCCUCAGGCUUCUCGGGUAGCCCAAAUGCAGGCUGGGUUGCACGGACUGAGACCCAUGGAGACGGCCACUACCAUCAGGUCACAGAGCUGGGGCUGGGGAAGAGGUUUGCUGCUGCUUCAAGGUCUGGGCCCAGCCCGUGGAUUGCUGUGGCCAGGCCUCCGGAGCCCUGCAGGACACAGCCUCCCGCCUGUCCCCGGGGUCCCCCAGCUCGCCCGCCAACCCGAGGCCAGAGGGCCUGGAGGGCCCCGGGGGGAACCCCGAUCCGCCUCUCACCACACUAUCUGCCGUGAGGACCCCUGCAAGGCUGACAGUUGGCAGAAAAGGACCUCCAACCGCUGCACUAGGGUCCCCGCCCCUAUUACACCUCCACAUUCCUUGGCUCGUCGUCUUCUUACAUCUUUUUUUUUUUUUUUUUUUUUUUUUUGCGGUACGCGGGCCUCUCACUGCUGUGGCCUCUCCCGCUGCGGAGCAC
Lagenorhynchus albirostris (white-beaked dolphin) is the source of this 2401-nucleotide long non-coding RNA. RefSeq lists it as uncharacterized. The record is from RefSeq and is a predicted model, not a curated record. NCBI's taxonomy places the organism in Eukaryota, Metazoa, Chordata, Mammalia, Artiodactyla, Delphinidae. The transcript has 4 exons.